UGUUCCUGUUUGGGGAAAACCGAACGGAGAAAACUGAAAAAGGAGCUCAUACCGUCACGUGAUUUGGGUCGCGUUGACAUCGUUACGUUCUCUUGAAUUUUCAAAAGGAAAUCUUUGUCGAUAACAAGCCGAACUUUUUGGAUACAUACAAGUACCAGACCAACAAGUGAGACCUAAAUUUCGAAUAAGGGUUUCUCAAGAGAGUUUCCUAUAUUUCCAUAGAUUUUAGUAUUGUCAAGUAGGAUGUAGCAUUUUUGCCAGCGGACGUUCUCUGUGACGAUCCAGACGAAGUUUGAGAGACACACCGAGCAUGAAUGCAUAGCAUAACCAACUGCCUCUCGCACUACAAGAUUUCAGGCGAGCUUCCAACUGUGCGCAAUUCAAACUUAAUAACCUGACAAGUAAGUCGAAGUGCAUUCAGCCCAAAGCUGAUUUCGACGAUCCGCAAAAAACAACCGGAGCUAUUUCUAUGACAGUUCAAAGACGUAACUCUUAAUAAAUGUCUCGUUUCGCUUGGCAAAUCAGAAAUGCCAUGACGCAGUUCUUGAAUCUGAAUUGUUAUAAGGCCCCAUUAGGAAACCUGAAGCUCUCGUUAAUCGUUGGUCACCAAAUCAAGUGGAUAUUGCUGCUAAAUCUCCUGCUUCGCGUAUAUCACGCCGUAAGUGACGAGUCACUGUAUCUGGAUAACUUAUCGACAGCUGAAAGUUUGGGUCCAGAAUCCUGGUAGCGUUUAUCCUAUCGAAGAUUUGUGUUGAUAAAUUCCGGUGCUGUUGGUCUACCGACAGUCUUCAUUUGAUCAACAGUCACGUACGCGGCAAAGAAGAUAGCCGUCUAACAGUCGACUUCUCUCGACAUAAAAGUCACAAUGGAUGGGACGGAAGGAUGGUCAGUUCAAGCCUGAGUUUGCCACCCAAAAGUCACGUGACAUCUUAGUGCAAGCAGCCCAACCAUAACGCAACUGGUAUCAAACAAAUUGCAAAGAAGACCGAGGGGGUCUGGCACUAACCUCGUCGUGCGCAUGAUCAGAAUCGUCGGCAGCAAAACCGACUCCUCUUCUGCUGGAGGGAGGGGUGGUGUCCUUCGGCUUGUCUUCGGCUUCCUUCGGUUUCUCGUCGUUUAACGGUGUAUUUUCGAAGCCGAGUCUUUUGGGUCUGAAUUGUUCCGUGUCUGAUUGGCUUUCCUCGUCCUAAAAUAGACAAGAGGAAUGUCAAGGAAAAGAUCAAGCAAGUUUUCGUUAUAAUAGGGGGGACAGUUUGUCGGAGUGGCUUUCAUCCCCCUUCCAAAAAAAAGGCACAAAAAAACCUGCACGAGUAUGGUUUAAUCCUAGCUCAAAAUUACAUUAUAAUGCAUGGAUAACUUUUUUUUUUAAUAAACAGAGUUUCUAAUACUCAAAAUAAACCGUUAAAGCACUAAGGGACUUUAACUAAUUAACGGCCAAACUAAUCUUUCUCAAAAUGGUCGAAAGAAAGUCUUACGGUAAGUGAUCGGCUUCUCUUUGGAAACCCGUCGGCAUGCGUCUUGUGAAUGACCAUCCUCGGGUGUUUUGCCUUCAGGUCUUUGAAGCGGGGGGUGUCGUGUCGCUGGAAAUUGGAGGUCUGGAAAGCAGAGAGAGGGAAAUAAUAACAAAUUAAGUUUCAAAUAUUUUAGACGUAUUGAUGAUGAUGAUAAUGAUGAUGACGAUGCUGAUGAUGACGAUAAUGAUGCCAGGCAGUGAUGACGACGAUAACAAUGAAGGAAAAUAACAACGAUGAUGAUGAUACGGAAGAUUUGGAUCAUAGUAACCUCGGUUGUGAUAACGGUGUCGGUUCAUGUAGACAACUAGAUGACUUCAGUGGUAUAGUGAGAAGGGAAGAGAUUCGGCAGUCAUUCGCCAGACAUUCGCGAGUACUUACCUCUCUAUCGUGAUUGAGCGCGAUCUCGUCUGGGAAAUGUAUCCCGCCAGCCUUUGGGGGCAGUUCCUCGUCGUCGUACUCAAAGCCUUCCAUCAUUAAGUUAUCCACAGCAAACCCGUGACUCAAGUCGUUCGUCAGCAUUUCUGUAAAAGGACAAAUCAACAAUGUUCCGAUAAUGUUCCGACGUGUUUAUACAUUCACAUGGAAAUCGACUAUCAUCAUCCCAAAAGCUCAAAGGUCCAAAAACGUUUAAUUUUUUUAAAGAAAGAUAGCCAAUAAGAAUCAUGAUGCUCUGAAGCAAAUAUUGAAAUUUUGGAAUAGAAUAAGCCAGUUCAGAGUUUAAGAAAAGACGCGGGGAGACUGGGUCAUCUGAAUCAUCGAAUCGGGCCAAAUGAGCGAUUUUGCAGAAAAGUUUGUAUGGCGGUCUUGGAGAAAAACCCUUCCUACAAAGCCGUUUUACAAGAUAUGGGAAAACCAACCACAUUCAUGCGGUGCACACUUAUUGUUUUACCUUUGGACCGCGUUUUGUUAUGAAUACGGCCCGAUAAAUAUUUUUCAGAUAGAUUUACUUCGCUUAGUGAUCUAAUUUGGCCGACUUCCGCUCGCAAAACACCGAUGAAAACACGCAACAACAAUAAACUUUGGUACCUCAGGUAAAAACAAAAUGAUUUUCGUCCACGAAAUUCAAGUACUAAUUUUGCUAAAGAACUAAGAACAAAAUUAAUUUGAAUUUUACGGCAUAAAUAUUGAAACGGAACUUCUACCCAUGCAUUUUAUACCCCGAUUCGGAUUUCGCCGAUAAACUUUUACGGUAUUUGAGUGAAGAAAUGACUCCGAGUACUCAGAAAAUCGCUCCGUAGAAAUACCUUUUGCGCCUAAUUCAUCCCUAAUUGCCCCCUAUACAAAGUACAAUAAAGUCAUCACGUGUAGAAAUGAAUGAUUUCACCAUAUCUUUUAAAGCGGUUUUGUAGAAAGGAUUUUUCUCCAAGACCGCAAUACAAACUCUCUUGUGAAAUCGCUCUUUUGGUGCGAAAGAACCCAGUCCCUCACGGCAUUCUGAACUGGCUGUAAGUUGGAUAGAUUGAGUGUCAGUGAUUCAAGAUGAUUCAUGUCUCUACUCCAGGAUGAAUAUCUUUUCUACCCAACACCCAACGCGCGCUCGCAUUCUCAGUUUGAGCAUUACCCAAAAGCCUUUGUGCGCUUGCUCGCCCCAGUCCCUGUCUUACCCAGGCUUCCCAUGCCUUGUUGUGGGAGCAGGAAACAUGUCAACACUUUGCUAUUCGUUUUCUCGUCUUCCUCUGUUUGUAGCUUUAGCACAGGUUGCGACUGGUAAACAAAAUGCGUGACAUUCAGACAACAGUUGAGGCCAUGAUACAUGAGGCAAUGUUUUACUGCAAAUUGCAAAGCAACGAGGACGAAAUUCCAGGUUUGCAGAGAUGAGCGUUUUGAAAUGCGCCCGCAUUAAAAUUAUAAUUAAAGCGAUCGCUACCUUGAGUAAAUAAGAGAAGGAGUGCGCUAAUUGGCUAAUUCUCUAAAAUGGUUUUGCAGGUUGCAUUACGAGUUGCAGAAACAUGAUACACAGGGUGAAUUUUCAGCAAUGUUGCGAAAAGUAGAAAGCAAUUUUAUAUUUUUACAACUUGCAAAGCACACAGCGAAGCUUGAAUCAAGCGCAAGACAUACCAUGUUCUAUUGGAAAAUUAAGAAUUAUACAACAAAACAUAUCAGCGACGGAAGGGUCAAGAAACAGCACUACUAACAGCUAUCCAAAUAAAAAAAUUAAUGCCUUUUUCUCUUCCAAAAUUUUUCAGAUAAAAUCCGAGGCUCCAAAUCCAGUGGAAAAAAAAUCACUAUUUUCGCCUUCAAUAUUUGCACAACUAAAAGGUGACGCGAACAUUAUCGAUAAUGAAUCCCCUCUCUUUAAUCUUUAAAUGGUGUAAUUGCACUUAGCUCCCUCAAAACCUUUCUGUCACAGGGGACUGAUGUUACCAACAAAGUUUAACUGAUGAGAAUUUUUUUAAUGCCGUUGUUAACACGCCCUGCUUAUAUGGGAAGAUUAAUGUCAUCGAGUUUGGGGAUAAAAGAAAAAAAAAAGUUGAAGAUGGAACUAUAAAACGUUGUUAUGAUUUAUAACCAUAUGGUUAUGCCUAAACGGUGACAUAACAGAGAAAAGCGUGUUGACAAGUUACAUGCAACUAUUAGCAAAAAAAAAACGAUCCUGACCGAUGAGACAAGUCAAGAAGGCAUCCAUUUGUAGAUUUAUCAUCACAACUACACA
Molecule: long non-coding RNA, 4167 nt
Organism: Nematostella vectensis (starlet sea anemone)
Lineage: Eukaryota; Metazoa; Cnidaria; Anthozoa; Actiniaria; Edwardsiidae
Exons: 2
Source: RefSeq, a predicted model, not a curated record